GUAUUGCUGAAGAGUCGCAAACUAGGACGAAACAGCUGUGUAGUAC
This 46-nucleotide non-coding RNA is filed under the name Trichobilharzia regenti. Lineage: Eukaryota; Metazoa; Platyhelminthes; Trematoda; Strigeidida; Schistosomatidae. The record is from RNAcentral.